GGAAGCAUGGCUCAAAUGGUAGAGCACCAGCCUAGAAAGCACAAGGCCUUGAGUUCAAAUCCCAGUACUUCCA
RNAcentral lists this transfer RNA (73 nucleotides) under Dipodomys ordii (Ord's kangaroo rat). It matches the Rfam family "tRNA". Rfam says of the family: Transfer RNA (tRNA) molecules are approximately 80 nucleotides in length. Their secondary structure includes four short double-helical elements and three loops (D, anti-codon, and T loops). Further hydrogen bonds mediate the characteristic L-shaped molecular structure. tRNAs have two regions of fundamental functional importance: the anti-codon, which is responsible for specific mRNA codon recognition, and the 3' end, to which the tRNAs corresponding amino acid is attached (by aminoacyl-tRNA synthetases). tRNAs cope with the degeneracy of the genetic code in two manners: having more than one tRNA (with a specific anti-codon) for a particular amino acid; and 'wobble' base-pairing, i.e. permitting non-standard base-pairing at the 3rd anti-codon position. The record is from Rfam by way of RNAcentral. Lineage: Eukaryota; Metazoa; Chordata; Mammalia; Rodentia; Heteromyidae.